GUACCGUUGCGGAUUCGACUCACGGCUCCAGACGCGCAGGCUCAGUAAUUGUGGCUCACGGGCCUAGUUGCUCCGCGGCAUGUGGGAUCCUCCCGGACCAGGGCUCGCACCCAUGUCCCCUGCAUCGGCAGGCAGACUCUCAACCACUGGGCCACCAGGGAAGACCCGAGUAGGCUGUUUCUGAGAGCGGGCUGUUUCAGCGAAGUGAAGCAAGGCCACAGCAAAUUUUAUCGACCCAAAGGGCGCAGCCGCGGCUACUUUGCAGCGGGUUCGGGCCAGGCCCAGCCUGCGGCGGCAACAGCGGGUCUCUGACCGACCGUGAGCUUGGGGACUUUGUCUCUAACGACUGCGGGUGCAGCGGCCUGAGUUCUAAGCGCAGGAGAUGAGUAUACAUCAACAUUUUUAGAAGAAAACGUACAUUGUCACCUUGCUGGGAGAGGCCUUAGGAAGUACUGCUAACCAUCUACCCUGUCAUCAGAAUAGAAGUCCUCCUGGAUUCACGUGAGAUACCAAGCUAGAUCCAUAUCAUCACCCCCCACCCCCGUCCAGGACAAUUAGAAGGCCAUCCCUAUGCGUGACCUCAAAUUGAGGAUUUCAAGAGCUUACUCAGGCUCCAGAAGCAGACGACACCACGAAGUAGACAGCUUUACCCAAGAUCUCCGAUCAAGAAUUUUGUCUCCGUUUAUCUUCCCUUGCAAUCUCUGCCUGACCUGCAAAAUUCUCUGACCUAGAAAUUUAAACAAAACGCUUCCUCUUUCAGUUACAGAAGGACUGACUGGAGGUUGCUUGUCUAAACCUGUCCUCCCUCUGUUCCCCCAUUACGGGCUCCCUUUCAGACUAUGUCUUGCUUCAGCGAAUUCUUACUGCUUUUUCAACAGUUUUAGCAUGGCCACAACACCCACUCACACCAAUCUUUCAGACCCUGGCUACCUUAACUAAUCAGUCUAAUUGCUGGUUAUGUCAGCAUCUAAAUAACGCACCAGAACCUGAACUAGGUUUUGUCCCUGCCAGUGCAAGCACCUGGUGGACCCAUUCUGGACAAUGGAUGUAUGGAAGGCACUCUGCUUCCUCCUACGACAGAGUGACUUGGCAUUGGGGAACCCCCAUGGAGGCUCGAGGUCUGUCUUUCACUCAGGUGAGGGUAUUGGAGGGAAAAUUUUCUCUUUGCAUUGAAAAUAAAAACGGCACUGGACCCUUCCUAGGUAACAUACCAAAACAAUACUGUAAUCAAACAUUGUGGUUUGAUUCCACAGAUGACACCUUCAAAUCCUCCAAAGAUGUUAUAAAUGAGUUCCAGACUGAUUAUUAUAAUGAUACAAAUGUUUGCCUAGUCACUGGACAGUAUUCCUGGUCUGCAGGCCACAAAAAUAGGACGUGGAACCGCCCAGCUGUUCCCCUGGUUGGUCUGCCCGAUACCCCAGGCCACAAAUGGGUCGACCAGAAUUCUGGAAUGACCUGGUCAGGUAAUGACACCUUUCUUGAUAGCUGCCAAAACCAGACUGAAGGUCUCCUCUUACCAGAUAUUUCGCAGCCUGUUUUGCUCUUACAGCCUGACAGAGGCACAUGGGAAAUGGAGAUAUACAGUUGCCGACAUAACUAACGACAAAGACCACCAUGGACACCGAACUCCAACCUGAUGGGUCACAGGUUCCACUCUGACCUUGUUUGUGAACACCUCUGGUCUGUUUAUUUUAUGUGGCAAUAAGGUAUAUAAAGGAUUCCCACCUAAAUGGUCAGGGCGAUGUGGACUUGGCUACCUGGCAUUUUCCUUCACUAGUUAUCCCACUUUAAAUGCUAGCCGGAUUACAGACCUGGGCUCCUUCAGGCAUAAAGUAGCACCACGUAGACGCAUCCAACCAGACAUUGUAGGCAAGCCACUCAUGUAUCGCAAUACUGAUUCAGUAAGGACCCUUUUUCCAAGCUUGAAAACUUCCGAUCUAGAAGAAGCAAUUCUGAACAUUUCCAAAGUCAUGGAACAAGGAUUCACUGGCACCCCGCAGGCCUUGAAAGCACGUCCGUCAGGGGGAGAAAGCCGUAGACCAUUUAAUCUGGGAUGAUCUGCUGUACUCUCCUGAUUUCCCGUGAGCAUUUAAUCUACGGUCUAAAGGGUCGUUUGUCUGGUAUGAGUUGUAGCUGUCUUACGAUUAUGGGCAGCAGCAGCGAGGGGGGCUGUAGAGACCAAGUGGAGGUAGCAUUUAUCAUAUUGCACGUGUCACUCCGUUGCUCCUGUCCUUACAUUAUUCUGUUUAAUUCUCACACAGUGUUCUUCCCGUUUUACAGAUGAAUAAAUUGGAAGGGUAGAUAACUUGCUAAAGAUUAUACCAUUACUGGGACUUCCUGGUGGUCCAGUGGUUAAGACUCCGCACUCCCAAUGCAGGGAGCAUGGGUUCAAUCCCUGGUUGGGGAACUAAGAUCCCAUGUGCCGUCCAGCGCAGCCAAAAAAAAAGACUAUACCAUUACUGAAAAUAAGAGCAAGAUGCAGAACUGGUAUCUAGUGUGCAACCUUUCAUAGAGCAGAGGAAAGAAGAAAAAAUACAUAGUCAUUCCUUGGAGAUACUGCGGGUUUGGUUCCAGACCGCUGCAAUAAAGGGAGUCGCACAAAUUGUUUGGUUUCUCUGUGCAAAUAAAAGUUAUGUUUACAC
This is a long non-coding RNA of Eubalaena glacialis (North Atlantic right whale), 2642 nucleotides long. RefSeq lists it as uncharacterized. Lineage: Eukaryota; Metazoa; Chordata; Mammalia; Artiodactyla; Balaenidae. The transcript has 5 exons. The record is from RefSeq and is a predicted model, not a curated record.